Molecule: ribosomal RNA, 280 nt
Filed under: uncultured bacterium
Lineage: Bacteria
Description: partial 16S ribosomal RNA
Rfam family: Bacterial small subunit ribosomal RNA
Source: RNAcentral
CGUGGGGGAGGAAUGUCUGUGGAUUGUAAACCCCUUUUCUCAGGGAAGAAGCUCUGACGGUACCUGAGGAAUCAGCAUCGGCUAACUCCGUGCCAGCAGCCGCGGUAAGACGGAGGAUGCAAGCGUUAUCCGGAAUUAUUGGGCGUAAAGCGUCCGUAGGCGGUUUAUCAAGUCUGCCGUUAAAGACUGCAGCUUAACUGUGGGCGAGCGGUGGAAACUGAUUAACUAGAGUACGGUAGGGGUAGAGGGAAUUCCCAGUGUAGCGGUGAAAUGCGUAGAU